UCAACAUCACCUGGAAUGUUUUACAAAUACAAAUUCAUGAGCCCUGCCAGAUGAGUCAGAAUCUCUGAGGAUGGGGCUCUCAGGAGUAAUUGUUUUAAAAAUCUCUCCAGGUGAUUCUUAUGUACCUAAAGUUUAAGAAGCCUUCGUCUAGCAGACAUUUUCCUUUAAGAAAGCACUCUGAAGACGUGCAUGCUUCUCUAUCAAGGAGAAAACCAAAUGAAAUGAGCAGAUUAAAAGGCAAGACUCCUGGUGGAAAGUAGAUGGGCAAACAUGCUAGAAACAUUGUGAGGUGUGAGAAGGAGGAUAAAAAACCAGAUAGGAGGAGCACCAUGGUUCUCCAAGGAAUAACAUGGAAAAACGUGAACACAGGAAUGCAAACUCAAAGGAGGACUGAAGGAAGAUUUAACAACAGCAAAAUAUCAUCAGCUCCUUGGGCUUGGCAAAAGUCAAUCCAGAGAAGAUGCUCUGAGCUCCAGGUGGCAUGGGCUCCUCUGCUUCACUUUCAGCUUAGCAAUCAUGCUAACCCAUCUACUUAUAUUUUUCUUUGAUCUUUGCUCUACUCUGUCAAACAGCUGCUAAAAAUCAGAACAAAUUUGUGCCCAGAAAUGUGCCACAAUUUAAGAGAAUUCAAACAUUUCACAUAGCCCAGAACUCCAGAGCAAAAAAUUCCAAAUAAAAGAAAAUUGACAAUCAUUCUAGAUAAUGAUAACAGCAACAACAAUGAUAAAUAAUAAAAGAUAAAGAAGAAAAGGAAGAACAUGUUUUCCCUAGUUAUGAGGUUUUCAUCUUUUCCAUUUCUAUUUGGUUUGCAGAGGACCCUCUUUGAAUUCCAUUUGAAUAUUUUUGUGACUGACCAUCCUUCCUUAUCAUGAUGAGCCAAGCAUAAUUAGGAAAAGUAAAACC
RNAcentral lists this long non-coding RNA (903 nucleotides) under Equus caballus (horse). Its description in RNAcentral is "lncRNA (ENSECAG00000053739.1)". Lineage: Eukaryota; Metazoa; Chordata; Mammalia; Perissodactyla; Equidae. The record is from RNAcentral.